RNAcentral lists this ribosomal RNA (465 nucleotides) under uncultured bacterium. Its description in RNAcentral is "partial 16S ribosomal RNA". It matches the Rfam family "Bacterial small subunit ribosomal RNA", at positions 338 to 795 of the family's 1533-position model. The record is from RNAcentral.
CCUACGGGAGGCAGCAGUGGGGAAUAUUGCGCAAUGGGCGAAAGCCUGCCGCAGCGACGCCGCGUGAGGGAUGAAGGUCUUCUGAUCGUAAACCUCUGUCAGCAGGGAAGAACGGUCACUGUGCUAAUCAGCAGUGAAUUGACGGUACCUGCAAAGGACGCACCGGCUAAAUCCGUGCCAGCAGCCGCGGUAAUACGGAGGGUGCGAGCGUUAAUCGGAAUUACUGGGCGUAAAGCGCUCGUAGGCGGUAUGUCAAGUCAAGGGUGAAAUCCCCGCGCUCAACGUGGGAACUGCCUUUGAAACUGGCAAACUGGAGUGUGUGAGAGGAUGGUGGAAUUCCAGGUGUAGGAGUGAAAUCCGUAGAUAUCUGGAGGAACAUCAGUGGCGAAGGCGACUAUCUGGCACAUAACUGACGCUGAGGAGCGAAAGCGUGGGUAGCAAACAGGAUUAGAUACCCGGGUAGUC